CGUACACUCCUGCGGGAGGCAGCAGUGGGGAAUUUUGGACAAUGGGCGAAAGCCUGAUCCAGCCAUGCCGCGUGCAGGAUGAAGGCCUUCGGGUUGUAAACUGCUUUUGUACGGAACGAAACGGCCUUUUCUAAUAAAGAGGGCUAAUGACGGUACCGUAAGAAUAAGCACCGGCUAACUACGUGCCAGCAGCCGCGGUAAUACGUAGGGUGCAAGCGUUAAUCGGAAUUACUGGGCGUAAAGCGUGCGCAGGCGGUUAUGUAAGACAGUUGUGAAAUCCCCGGGCUCAACCUGGGAACUGCAUCUGUGACUGCAUAGCUAGAGUACGGUAGAGGGGGAUGGAAUUCCGCGUGUAGCAGUGAAAUGCGUAGAUAUGCGGAGGAACACCGAUGGCGAAGGCAAUCCCCUGGACCUGUACUGACGCUCAUGCACGAAAGCGUGGGGAGCAAACAGGAUUAGAAACCCGGGUAGUCC
This 474-nucleotide ribosomal RNA is filed under the name uncultured organism. RNAcentral describes it as "partial 16S ribosomal RNA". It matches the Rfam family "Bacterial small subunit ribosomal RNA", at positions 330 to 796 of the family's 1533-position model. The record is from RNAcentral.